Long non-coding RNA from Triplophysa rosa, 2498 nucleotides. RefSeq lists it as uncharacterized. Lineage: Eukaryota; Metazoa; Chordata; Actinopteri; Cypriniformes; Nemacheilidae. The record is from RefSeq and is a predicted model, not a curated record. The transcript has 5 exons.
GCCCGCGAAACAAGCGUCACGCGCACAGACCGAGUGGAUAUUCCUGAGCAGCUACACACACCCCAAAUGCUCUUAGCCAUAUUAUCCAGAGUCUUUGGCUUUAUUUUGCAUUGUCCGCCACUGCCUCCAGAGUUUUUUUUCCUGGCAUCUCUUGUUUUAAGCUGCAGUAAUGAAAUGGAGUAAAGAUGCAACAGAGGAGAUAAGAAAACAUACUUCGGACCAUCAUAAGCAUGCACCAUCAAGAAGUGGAGGGGAGACACAAUGAAUAUUAAAAAUCAAUAUAGAUUUUUGUUUGUGAUUUGUUUUUAUGUUACCUUUUAAAAGGUAAAUUUAUACCCACUAAUUAUUAUACACACACACACACACGCUGUCACACCCGUCAGCUGGAGUGUCCUUGUGCUUCACCAAAGGGCACUUCCCACAUUACCUGGACUAUCAUAGCACACUACAAUGCCCAUAAUCCUUUGCUAGACUCAAACAUGCUCACCUGUUUCCCAUUAGCCUUGCCAACUCCACUGCCCUGUCAACUCCACUGCCUUGUGCAGUUUAGCUCCAACCCUGUUUAAAAACACCUGUCUGUUAUUUUUCAAGUAAUUCUGAUUAUCUUGAUUAGCUGGUUCAGGUUUGUUUGGGUUGGAACUGUACUCUGCAGGACAAUAGAUCUCCAGGAGAAGGAUUGGGCACCCCUGGUCUAUUUAAACCCCUUGUUUUCAUUCAUUUUUGGCGAAGUCUUGUUUAGUGUUACACUGUAUUUCUGAGUAUUGUUGCCUGUUGGAUUAUCGUGUAAUACCUUGGAUUGUAUUUUUUGUCUUUUGAACCUCUGUUGCCUGUCCCAACCAUUGCCUGUGAUUUCAUCCAUGAAUGUUUGCUGUCUGCCCUGAUCUUUGCCUGUUUUGCCUUCAUGUCUCGGAAGCAAUUCAUAUAGUGCUGUAGUACUCGAGUCCGGUCUCGAGACGUUUUUUAUGGUCUCGGACUUGUCUUGGACUCGUCUCGCAAAUGUUCUAGUCGGUCUCGUCCGAGUCCAGCGAUAUAUGUUUUAUUUUCUCCUUCAAAACAAAACAUUGAUGGAGCAAUAUUCUUGUGAUCCGAAAACUAAUGAUCCGAAAACUGUUGCCGACUCUCGACUCUAGAACGAGAGCUGCGCGUGCUCAUAAGUUCUCUUUUCACACAGCAGUUCAGUUCAGUGUGUGCUGUUGUUGUAAUUAAAUAACUCUGGUAUAUUGGUUCAAGUCCGCGGGACUGUCAUGCACGCCAGAAAGUGAAUAACUGAAUUAAUUUGUGGAUAAUAUUAAGUGUUUACAGGAAUCCGACAGGAAUGGCGCAGUAAUCUUAUCUGUAUAUUUUACAGUAAUUGUACAAGAGGAUGCAGCAGAUGGCAUACUGUAUAUUACUGGGACGGAAGAGCCUUGCUUCGCCACAGUGAUCCAAACAUCUGAAUCGGCUUUUGCAAAUGAUCUUCUUCGAUGAAUUACUGCAGCAUGGUCAAUAAAAGUGCAAACGCACAUCUCCUUUCAUUUAAAUUGCCAACUUGCAUUCAUAAUUGUGUCAUGCAAAUAACACCAAGUUUGUGAAUAAACCUUAAUAUAUAAACCGAAUACACAUUGCUAAAUUCAUGAAAAUACUGUGUCAGCACAUUUAGCAUCUGUUCAAAUUGGACUACAAGUGCUUAGUGAAUAAAACGCAGUUUACGCUGAAAUACAUUGUUUUUGUAUAUUAUAAAACACUGCAUAUCAUCCCAGUACAUUUCUUACUGUGGUGUCGUAACACACAAAAGGUUUACAAGAAUGUGUGGCAUUCAGGCAUCAUAUAAUUUGCAUUACCAUAUAAAGUGUAUAAUGUAUGAAAUACAAUUGCAUGAGUGCAUAUGGAAGGAUGCAUUUAUUGACUUUUCCUUCUGACUGUCUAUUGCCAAUGUAAUGGACAAUGGACGUUUGAGUGGCUACAAGCCCUGGGUUAUUGAUUUGAUCAAACAAGCAUAAUUAGGCAGAUGUGUCUGUAAAAAACAGAAGCUGAACUGUACUGUAUACUUCUGUUUAUUUCUACCAGCCCAUGCUUGUACUGAUGUGCUGUGCCCGUGCAUGCUAGCGUGGAGAGGUGAUGUUAUAUCAAGCAUAGAUGGGCACUGAUUAGAUUUUAAUACACUUACUCUGGUAAGUGGGGUUAAGUAUGUAGUGUAUUAUAGUAAUACAGUGGAUUUGUUGAUCUGUGAUGGAAAGAGUAUGUGAACGACAUGGGUCGGCUUUGGGACACGUGGGCCACAGCUGUGCAUUUUAUCAGCCACCGCCUGAGCUAUUAGUGAAAGAGGCUUUUAUACACAUACAUUCAACACUAAUAAGCCUUUGUCAGAUGUAGGAUGCAGAGGCUGCAACGUUGGAUGAUUUGUCAGCCCAAUGAGGUCAAAAAAGUUUAGGAUUAUGACACAGAGAUGGGGUUUUAAUAUAAAGUACUGUCCUUACUAAUGAGACCACCAUCCAACACCAGCAUUCAUUUGAUGUGCA